This 66-nucleotide transfer RNA is filed under the name Dendronotus frondosus (frond-aeolis). Its description in RNAcentral is "tRNA-Glu". Lineage: Eukaryota; Metazoa; Mollusca; Gastropoda; Nudibranchia; Dendronotidae. The record is from RNAcentral.
GUCUAAGUAGUGAAUACUAUCACGCUACCUUUUCGUGGUAGAGAAAAAUAUAAAAUUUCUUAGAUA